Molecule: ribosomal RNA, 1133 nt
Filed under: Gemmatimonadota bacterium
Lineage: Bacteria; Pseudomonadati; Gemmatimonadota
Description: bacterial SSU rRNA
Rfam family: Bacterial small subunit ribosomal RNA
Source: RNAcentral
GGAGAGUUUGAUCCUGGCUCAGAACUAACGCUUGUGGUGUGUCUUAGUCAUGCAAGUCGAACGAGAAAGUCGCCUUCGGGUGGCGAGUACAGUGGCAAACGGGUGAGUAACACGUGGGCAAUUUGCCCCCGGGUUGGGGAUAACAUUUCUAACGAAGUGCUAAUACCGAAUGACAAGGUGAGUUUAUGACUUGCUUUUAAAGGUGGCCUCUACUUGUAAGCUGCCGCCUGGGGAUGAGCCCGCGUCGUAUUAGCUUGUUGGUGGGGUAACGGCCUACCAAGGCGACGAUGCGUAGCCGGCCUGAGAGGGUGAACGGCCACACUGGAACUGAGACAAGGUCCAGUCUCCUACGGGAGCCAGCAGUCUAGAAAUUUGCACAAUCGCCGAAAGGCGGAUGCAGCGACACCACGUGGAGGAUGAAGCCGUUCGCGGUGUAAACUCCUGUCAGGAGGGAAGAAGGUGCGGAUGUUAAUACCACCCGCUACUUGACGGUACCUCCAGAGGAAGCUCCGGCUAACUACGUGCCAGCAGCCGCGGUAAUACGUAGGGAGCGAGCGUUGUUCGGAUUUACUGGGCGUAAAGAGCACGUAGGCGGGUAUUCAAGUCGGUUGUGAAAUCCUCUGGCUCAACCAGAGAACUGCAAUCGAAACUGUAUACCUUGAGUCCAACAGAGGGAAUCGGAAUCCAAGGUGUAGCGGUGAAAUGCGUAGAUAUCUUGGAGAACAUCAGUGGCGAAGGCGGAUUCCUGGGUUGGUACUGACGCUGAGGUGCGAAAGCUAAGGUAGCGAACAGGAUUAGAUACCCUGGUAGUCUUAGCCGUAAACGAUGGGUACUAGGUGUUGGGGGACAUUGACCCCCUCAGUGCCGUAGCUAACGCAUUAAGUACCCCGCCUGGGGAGUACGGCCGCAAGGCUGAAACUCAAAGGAAUUGACGGGGACCCGCACAAGCAGUGGAGCAUGUUGCUUAAUUCGAUGCAACGCGAAGAACCUUACCAGGGCUUGACAUCCGAGGAAUCUUCUGGAAACAGAAGAGUGCCUUCGGGAACCUCGAGACAGGUGCUGCAUGGCUGUCGUCAGCUCGUGUCGUGAGAUGUUGGGUUAAGUCCCGUAACGAGCGCAACCCUUGUCCUAUG